GGCGUGCUUAACACAUGCAAGUCGAACGGGAUCCAUCAAGCUUGCUUGGUGGUGAGAGUGGCGAACGGGUGAGUAAUGCGUGACCAACCUGCCCUGUACUCUGGAAUAGCUCCUGGAAACGGGUGGUAAUGCCGGAUGCUCCACAUGGGUGCAUGCCUGUGUGGGAAAGGGUUUACCGGUAUGGGAUGGGGUCGCGUCCUAUCAGCUUGACGGCGGGGUAAUGGCCCACCGUGGCUUUGACGGGUAGCCGGCCUGAGAGGGCGACCGGCCGCAUUGGGACUGAGAUACGGCCCAGACUCCUACGGGAGGCAGCAGUGGGGAAUAUUGCACAAUGGGGGGAACCCUGAUGCAGCGACGCCGCGUGCGGGAUGACGGCCUUCGGGUUGUAAACCGCUUUUGAUUGGGAGCAAGCGUUAAGUGAGUGUACCUUUCGAAUAAGCGCCGGCUAACUACGUGCCAGCAGCCGCGGUAAUACGUAGGGCGCAAGCGUUGUCCGGAAUUAUUGGGCGUAAAGGGCUCGUAGGCGGCUCGUCGCGUCUGGUGUGAAAGUCCAUCGCUUAACGGUGGAUCUGCGCCGGGUACGGGCGGGCUGGAGUGCGGUAGGGGAGACUGGAAUUCCCGGUGUAACGGUGGAAUGUGUAGAUAUCGGGAGGAACACCAAUGGCGAAGGCAGGUCUCUGGGCCGUUACUGACGCUGAGGAGCGAAAGCGUGGGGAGCGAACAGGAUUAGAUACCCUGGUAGUCCACGCCGUAAACGGUGGACGCUGGAUGUGGGGCCCAUUCCACGGGUUCCGUGUCGGAGCUAACGCGUUAAGCGUCCCGCCUGGGGAGUACGGCCGCAAGGCUAAAACUCAAAGAAAUUGACGGGGGCCCGCACAAGCGGCGGAGCAUGCGGAUUAAUUCGAUGCAACGCGAAGAACCUUACCUGGGCUUGACAUGUUCCCGGCGACAUCAGAGAUGGUGUUUCCCUUCGGGGCGGGUUCACAGGUGGUGCAUGGUCGUCGUCAGCUCGUGUCGUGAGAUGUUGGGUUAAGUCCCGCAACGAGCGCAACCCUCGCCCCGUGUUGCCAGCACGUCAUGGUGGGAACUCACGGGGGACCGCCGGGGUUAACUCGGAGGAAGGUGGGGAUGAC
This 1133-nucleotide ribosomal RNA is filed under the name uncultured bacterium. Its description in RNAcentral is "bacterial SSU rRNA". It matches the Rfam family "Bacterial small subunit ribosomal RNA", at positions 41 to 1183 of the family's 1533-position model. The record is from RNAcentral.